AUGGGUGAGUCAUCUGCUUCUUCUGAGAUCUCUGCUCCCCUUGGUUUUCCAUUCCCUGCUUUUCUCCCAACCAAUGAUUUAAUUGUAGAGGUAGAAAAUUCACUCAUUGUACCACCUUCUUUGAGCACAGAUGAUAGCAAGGACAUUGCUCAUAAGACUGAACUUUUGGGAAAGGAAGGUGUUGAAGUCUGGUACAAGCAUUUUGCACCCUCAAACAAUGAUCAAACUUCCAUUCAGGGGGCACAAGAGCAAGAGGUCAACUCCCUAGCUCCAUCUGCACCACUUCUGGCACAAGCUGCUGCAUCUACUUCAGCCAUGCACAACAUCAAGAAGAGAAAGGAAAAGGUUCCACUAGUGGAAACUGAGGUAAGGAGAAGUUGUCGAUUACAACAACUAGCCAAGGGUUACAAGAAAAAAGAUUUGCAUGGAUAA
Molecule: ribosomal RNA, 432 nt
Filed under: Triticum aestivum (bread wheat)
Lineage: Eukaryota; Viridiplantae; Streptophyta; Magnoliopsida; Poales; Poaceae
Description: partial small subunit ribosomal RNA
Source: RNAcentral